RNAcentral lists this small RNA (27 nucleotides) under Bombyx mori (domestic silkworm). RNAcentral describes it as "ovarian small RNA-4733". The record is from RNAcentral. Lineage: Eukaryota; Metazoa; Arthropoda; Insecta; Lepidoptera; Bombycidae.
CAGUACUGGACGCGGUGCUUGGGGAUA